GUUAGGCAAUCUCUGAGGAUGGGCUGUAGUGGGGCGGGGUGGGAGCAGGGAGACCACUUGGGAGGCCAGUGGAAUAGUCCAGAUGAAUCGUGAUGGUGGGCAGCCUGGAGCAGAGGUGGUGAUCAGGGGAGAAGGGAAGGGUGGUGGAUUCAAUGAUUGGAUGGUUGGAUAUGGGGUAUAGUUUGAAAAAGGAAGAUGUUAAGGUUCCACCGAUACCAUUGCUAAGGAAACACAGGAGAGGGCAGAAUCCACUCUGCUUGGAUCUCCAGAAAACAUCAGGGAAGGACGGAUAAGUCAUCAAAAGGGAUUGAGAUUGGAAGUUGGCCUUGAAGAAUGAGUAGGCAUUUUCUAGUUGGCAAGAGGGGAAAGGUAUGAUAAUCAGAGGGCGGGGCAUGUGCAAAGGCACAGGGGCAUAACCAGAAUAGUGCAAGCAACUGCAAGCGUUCAUAGGUAUGAAAGGGAAAUUAAUAUGUGACCCGUAAAUAACUAUGUUGGUUUCUUGAUACGCUCAUCUCUAUUUUGUGCAUAGUCAUUAUAAGACCUACAGUAGGUAGAAUUUGUAAAUAGGUUAAAAUGAUAAAAUGUUUUAUUUUUAUUCUAUAGGCAUAAUGUAUAGAAAUUCCUGUCUUUACUUCCAUAUUUUAAAUGAGGAAUUCACAUAUGGCUCUUGAUUUUAUUAUCUGCCUUCUUUCUAAUAAAAUUUAGUCAUUUAGUCAUUUGGGUAGAACUUAGAUUUUAGGUUUUUCCUUAGUGUUUUGGCAUCUGGAUUUGGGAUUGAUUGACAUUUUAAAUUUAUUGAAAUAACUAUGAAUUUACUCCUGAUGGAAAUAGGGACAUGUUGAUUUCGAUUUUGCUUGGAAACUAAGAUCAAAGGACAAUCCAAUCCAAAAAGAGUUUGUAAUGCUAAAACUUAGGUGACAUGUCAACUCUGGGGAAAAAUAAGGUGAUGUUGAAUUAAUACUUGAUGUGUUUAUAGUAAGUACAAGAGUGUUGAUAGUUAGAUCAGUUUGGGAAAAAUCUAUAGCACUGAAAUUAUGAGCAUGGCUUUAUGUGAAAGAUAGUGGCUUAAAAUACUGCCUUUAACAUCUGUUAGCCAUACAAAUGCCCAGUUUU
RNAcentral lists this long non-coding RNA (1113 nucleotides) under Capra hircus (goat). RNAcentral describes it as "lncRNA (ENSCHIG00010021298.1)". Lineage: Eukaryota; Metazoa; Chordata; Mammalia; Artiodactyla; Bovidae. The record is from RNAcentral.